RNAcentral lists this transfer RNA (74 nucleotides) under Phycisphaerae bacterium SM23_33. RNAcentral describes it as "tRNA-Val". It matches the Rfam family "tRNA". From Rfam's summary of the family: Transfer RNA (tRNA) molecules are approximately 80 nucleotides in length. The record is from RNAcentral. RNAcentral also lists the same sequence under 1 other name. Lineage: Bacteria; Pseudomonadati; Planctomycetota; Phycisphaerae.
GGGCCGCUAGCUCAGCCUGGCAGAGCGCCUGCAUUACACGCAGGAGGUCUGUGGUUCAAAUCCAUGGCGGCCCA